CUUUCUGACCCGACAGCUUCACUUGCUCACUUUCUUACCGAUACGAGUAUAGUUUACUUUCCAAGCACAGCUAAUUCUUUUGUAUAAAUUGACUUUCCUCAAACAAGCAUCUUCUCUUCUCGAUCUCCUACUCAGCAUUAUUCAUAUUAGGGGUACUCCUACUCAGCAUCUAGCGGAUCAAUUGAACUGUCAACUCUCCCGUUAACACUGAGUCUGGUCCUGAUCCAGCAUCU
This 233-nucleotide long non-coding RNA is filed under the name Musa acuminata (dwarf banana). Its description in RNAcentral is "long non-coding RNA (MACU_LNC009693)". Lineage: Eukaryota; Viridiplantae; Streptophyta; Magnoliopsida; Zingiberales; Musaceae. The record is from RNAcentral.